GGUAAUACAGAGGGUGCAAGCGUUAAUCGGAAUUACUGGGCGUAAAGCGCGCGUAGGUGGUUUGUUAAGUUGGAUGUGAAAGCCCCGGGCUCAACCUGGGAACUGCAUCCAAAACUGGCAAGCUAGAGUACGGUAGAGGGUGGUGGAAUUUCCUGUGUAGCGGUGAAAUGCGUAGAUAUAGGAAGGAACACCAGUGGCGAAGGCGACCACCUGGACUGAUACUGACACUGAGGUGCGAAAGCGUGGGGAGCAAACAGGAUUAGAUACC
Molecule: ribosomal RNA, 268 nt
Filed under: Pseudomonas sp.
Lineage: Bacteria; Pseudomonadati; Pseudomonadota; Gammaproteobacteria; Pseudomonadales; Pseudomonadaceae
Description: partial 16S ribosomal RNA
Rfam family: Bacterial small subunit ribosomal RNA
Source: RNAcentral